Molecule: ribosomal RNA, 443 nt
Filed under: uncultured bacterium
Lineage: Bacteria
Description: partial 16S ribosomal RNA
Rfam family: Bacterial small subunit ribosomal RNA
Source: RNAcentral
CCUACGUGUGGCAGCAGUGGGGAAUAUUGGGCAAUGGGCGCAAGCCUGACCCAGCAACGCCGCGUGAAGGAAGAAGGCUUUCGGGUUGUAAACUUCUUUUCUCAGGGACGAAGAAAGUGACGGUACCUGAGGAAUAAGCCACGGCUAACUACGUGCCAGCAGCCGCGGUAAUACGUAGGUGGCAAGCGUUAUCCGGAUUUACUGGGUGUAAAGGGCGUGUAGGCGGGGAAGCAAGUCAGAUGUGAAAACCACGGGCUCAACCUGUGGCCUGCAGUUGAAACUGUUUGUCUUGAGUACUGGAGAGGCAGACGGAAUGCGUGGUGUAGCGGUGAAAUGCUUAGAUAUUAGGAAGAACACCAGUGGCGAAGGCGGUCUGCUGGACAGCAACUGACGCUGAGGCGCGAAAGCGUGGGGAGCGAACAGGAUUAGAUACCCGAGUAGUC